UGAGAGAGGUCAGCGUGAGCCCCUUGCCUCACACCGGCCCCUCCCACGCUGAGAGAGGUCAGUGUGAGCCCUUGCCUCACACCGGCCCCUCCCACGCGGACAGAGGUCAGCGUGAGCCCCUUGCCUCACACCGGCCCCUCCCACGCUGAGAGAGGUCAGUGUGAGCCCUUGCCUCACCCCGGCCCCUCCCACGUGGACAGAGGUCAGCGUGAGCCCCUUGUCUCACACCGGCCCCUCCCACGCUGAGAGAGGUCAGUGUGAGCCCUUGCCUCACACCGGCCCCUCCCACGCGGACAGAGGUCAGCGUGAGCCCCUUGCCUCACACCGGCCCCUCCCACGCGGACAGAGGUCAGCCCGAGCCCCUUGUCUCACACCGGCCCCUCCCAUGCUGAGAGAGGUCAGCGUGAGCCCCUUGCCUCACACCGGCCCCUCCCACGCUGAGAGAGGUCAGCCCGAGCCCCUUGCCUCACACCGGCCCCUCCCACGCUGAGAGAGGUCAGCGUGAGCCCCUUGUCUCACACCGGCCCCUCCCACGCUGAGAGAGGUCAGCCCGAGCCCCUUGCCUCACACCGGCCCCUCCCACGCUGAGAGAGGUGUGAGCCCCUUGUCUCACACCGGCCCCUCCCACGCGGACAGAGGUCAGCGUGAGCCCCUUGCCUCACCCCGGCCCCUCCCACGCUGAGAGAGGUCAGUGUGAGCCCUUGCCUCACACCGGCCCCUCCCACGCGGACAGAGGUCAGCGUGAGCCCCUUGCCUCACCCCGGCCCCUCCCACGCUGAGAGAGGUCAGUGUGAGCCCUUGCCUCACACCGGCCCCUCCCACGCGGACAGAGGUC
RNAcentral lists this long non-coding RNA (835 nucleotides) under Homo sapiens (human). RNAcentral's name for it is "HSALNT0317688". The record is from RNAcentral. Lineage: Eukaryota; Metazoa; Chordata; Mammalia; Primates; Hominidae.